GAGUUUGAUCGUGGCUCAGAUUGAACGCUGGCGGCAGGCCUAACACAUGCAAGUCGAGCGGUAGAGAGAAGCUUGCUUCUCUUGAGAGCGGCGGACGGGUGAGUAAUGCCUAGGAAUCUGCCUGGUAGUGGGGGAUAACGCUCGGAAACGGACGCUAAUACCGCAUACGUCCUACGGGAGAAAGCAGGGGACCUUCGGGCCUUGCGUUAUCAGAUGAGCCUAGGUCGGAUUAGCUAGUUGGUGAGGUAAUGGCUCACCAAGGCGACGAUCCGUAACUGGUCUGAGAGGAUGAUCAGUCACACUGGAACUGAGACACGGUCCAGACUCCUACGGGAGGCAGCAGUGGGGAAUAGUUGGACAAUGGGCGAAAGCCUGAUCCAGCCAUGCCGCGUGUGUGAAGAAGGUCUUCGGAUUGUAAAGCACUUUAAGUUGGGAGGAAGGCAGUAAUUAAUACUUUGCUGUUUUGACGUUACGACAGAAUAAGCACCGGCUAACUCUGUGCCAGCCGCCGACCG
Molecule: ribosomal RNA, 515 nt
Filed under: uncultured bacterium
Lineage: Bacteria
Description: bacterial SSU rRNA
Rfam family: Bacterial small subunit ribosomal RNA
Source: RNAcentral